ACGUCGUUGUUAUGCCUUGAAAUUACCAUAUGUCAUCGAUAUGCCCCUUAUGCCAAUGAUAUGCUCAAAUUACCUUUCCUCGAUUGUAUGAACAAAACGUGCUUCGAACGAAAUGACAUCGUAAUUCUGCAUUCAUGAUAUCCAAAAUGCUCCUUAUGUCUUUGUUAUGUUUUGAAAUUACCAUAUGUCAUCGAUAUGCUCCUUAUGCCA
Molecule: long non-coding RNA, 210 nt
Filed under: Musa acuminata (dwarf banana)
Lineage: Eukaryota; Viridiplantae; Streptophyta; Magnoliopsida; Zingiberales; Musaceae
Description: long non-coding RNA (MACU_LNC009958)
Source: RNAcentral